AAGGUGUGCUAAUACCGGAUACGCUGAGAAAUCAGGAAAGGUGGCCUCUUCAUGAAAGCUACUGUAUCAGGAGGAGCUUGCGUACCAUUAGCUAGUUGGUGGGGUAAUGGCCUACCAAGGCAACGAUGGUUAGCGGGUCUGAGAGGAUGAUCCGCCACACUGGAACUGGAACACGGACCAGACUCCUACGGGAGGCAGCAGUGAGGAAUAUUGCGCAAUGGGGGCAACCCUGACGCAGCGACGCCGCGUGGAUGAUGAAGGCCUUCGGGUCGUAAAAUCCUGUCAGAUGGAAAGAAAUGUCAUAUGCCUAAUAUGUGUAUGAUUUGACGGUACCAUCAAAGGAAGCACCGGCUAACUCCGUGCCAGCAGCCGCGGUAAUACGGAGGGUGCAAGCGUUGUUCGGAAUUACUGGGCGUAAAGCGCGCGUAGGCGGCUUUUUAAGUCAGAUGUGAAAGUCCACGGCUCAACCGUGGAAGUGCAUUUGAUACUGGGAAGCUUGAGUACUGGAGGGGAUGGUGGAAUUCCCGGUGUAGAGGUGAAAUUCGUAGAUAUCGGGAGGAAUACCGGUGGCGA
RNAcentral lists this ribosomal RNA (573 nucleotides) under Desulfobulbaceae bacterium PR7_H07. Its description in RNAcentral is "bacterial SSU rRNA". It matches the Rfam family "Bacterial small subunit ribosomal RNA", at positions 155 to 718 of the family's 1533-position model. Lineage: Bacteria; Pseudomonadati; Thermodesulfobacteriota; Desulfobulbia; Desulfobulbales; Desulfobulbaceae. The record is from RNAcentral.